RNAcentral lists this ribosomal RNA (303 nucleotides) under uncultured bacterium. Its description in RNAcentral is "partial 16S ribosomal RNA". It matches the Rfam family "Bacterial small subunit ribosomal RNA", at positions 507 to 807 of the family's 1533-position model. The record is from RNAcentral.
AGCAGUCGCCACGGGAAUACGAAGGGGGCUAGCGUUGUUCGGAAUUACUGGGCGUAAAGCGCACGUAGGCGGAUAUUUAAGUCAGGGGUGAAAUCCCGCAGCUCAACUGCGGAACUGCCUUUGAUACUGGGUAUCUUGAGUAUGGAAGAGGUUAGUGGAAUUGCGAGUGUAGAGGUGAAAUUCGUAGAUAUUCGCAGGAACACCAGUGGCGAAGGCGGCUAACUGGUCCAUAACUGACGCUGAGGUGCGAAAGCGUGGGGAGCAAACAGGAUUAGAUACCCCAGUAGUCCCUGUCUCUUAUAC